GAUGAACGCUGGCGGCGUGCCUAAUACAUGCAAGUCGAGCGAACAGACGAGGAGCUUUCUCCUCUGACGUUAGCGGCGGACGGGUGAGUAACACGUGGAUAACCUACCUCUAAGACUGGGAUAACUUCGGGAAACCGGAGCUAAUACCGGAUAAUAUAUUGAACGGCAGGGUUCAAUAGUGAAAGACGGUUUUGCUGUCACUUAUAGCUGAUUCCGCGUCGCAUUAGCUAGUUGGUAAGGUAACGGCUUACCAAGGCAACGAUGCGUAGCCGACCUGAGAGGGUGAUCGGCCACACUGGAACUGAGACACGGUCCAGACUCCUACGGGAGGCAGCAGUAGGGAAUCUUCCGCAAUGGGCGAAAGCUUGACGGAGCAACGCCGCGUGAGUGAUGAAGGUCUUCGGAUCGUAAAACUCUGUUAUUAGGGAAGAACAAAUGUGUAAGUAACUAUGCACGUCUUGACGGUACCUAAUCAGAAAGCCACGGCUAACUACGUG
This 497-nucleotide ribosomal RNA is filed under the name uncultured bacterium. RNAcentral's name for it is "partial 16S ribosomal RNA". It matches the Rfam family "Bacterial small subunit ribosomal RNA", at positions 28 to 507 of the family's 1533-position model. The record is from RNAcentral.